RNAcentral lists this long non-coding RNA (1208 nucleotides) under Cricetulus griseus (Chinese hamster). Its description in RNAcentral is "lncRNA (ENSCGRG00015029876.1)". Lineage: Eukaryota; Metazoa; Chordata; Mammalia; Rodentia; Cricetidae. The record is from RNAcentral.
CAUUGGUUUGCACCAGCGGCCCAGACAAAGGGAGCGGCCGCUGCGGGAGGCGAUUGGGCGGAGCUAGGCGGGAGCCCGGAGACGGGCGGGGACGCUGCCCUCGCGGAGGCGGGGAGGGGUCCUCCACGUGGGUGGGGCUCGGCGCCCCCCGAGGGCCGUGGCCGCGGGGCGCUGGUACCCCUCCCGCCCCCGGGCUUCUGCCUGGACCGCGGCCGCUGCCUCCUCUUCCCGGAGGUCUCAGAGUCCGUCCCGGUCUCGCAGUAGGGAACCCGGAUACGCAGGAGCGAGCCUGGAUGCAGAAGGGCGCGCGGGAGCCUGGAGCUGCAGCGCGAACGAACCGCAGCCGCAGCUGAGUCAGAAGUGUCCCGCUGCCUUACCUGAUAAUGGGAUUUUACACGGUCUGCAAAGGGUGGCUUCGUGAGAAGACCGUUUCAGAAGAGGAAAUGGGCCUCUGGCCGACGGUGGGGUUUUAGAAACCCCUGUGGAGUGAAAAAGUACUCCCGGCCGCUUUGCGCAAGAUUGCAGAGUAAGGGACAGUUUCUCAGGGACACAUCUGGACAGUGUAGCCUACAAGACACAGGAGUGGACACCAAAAAACCUGGAUAGUGCUGACCCGGGCGGUCCAAGACCUGGACUGGGCCGGGCGGUGGUGGCUGGCACACAACUUUAAUCCCAGGACUCAAGAGGCAGAGGCAGGCAGAUGUCUGUGAGUUCGAGGCCAGCCUGGUCUACAGAGCAAGUUCCAGGACAGCCAGACUGUUACACGGAGAAACCCUGUCUCUGGAAAAACAAAAACAAAGAAGACCUGGACUGGACUGUACGCCGGCAUAGGGGAGGAGAGAAUCACACAUACACAGCGUGCUAGAGGACGGAUGAGUGCAGUGACGGUGGAGGCUUCUGAGGCCUCAAGAUGACCUCCUCACCUGUUGACAGGCUACUCUGCUUGCUGCCAGCCAAGCUGACCUCCAGGCCCGGCCCGGAACUCUUCCAGGCCUCUCAGGAGGUUGCCGCUACUCGGGAGACUGAAGCAGAAGGGUCGAAGGUUCAAGGCCUGCCAGCUACAGAGAGUCCAAGCUCAGCCUGGGUACCAUAAUGAGACACUGAGCACUCAAGACGGAAGGUAAACAGAAGUAGGACAGAGCUCAGUAGUAAAGCACUUACCACACCCAAGAGGCCCUCGGUUUGAUCCGUACGACCAGAAGGAGAAG